GUGGGGAAUAUUGGACAAUGGGGGGAACCCUGAUCCAGCCAUGCCGCGUGUGUGAAGAAGGCCUUUUGGUUGUAAAGCACUUUAAGCGAGGAGGAGGCUACCGAGAUUAAUACUCUUGGAUAGUGGACGUUACUCGCAGAAUAAGCACCGGCUAACUCUGUGCCAGCAGCCGCGGUAAUACAGAGGGUGCAAGCGUUAAUCGGAUUUACUGGGCGUAAAGCGCGCGUAGGUGGCCAAUUAAGUCAAAUGGGAAAUCCCCGAGCUUAACUUGGGAAUUGCAGUCGAUACUGGUUGGCUAGAGUAUGGGAGAGGAUGGUAGAAUUCCAGGUGUAGCGGUGAAAUGCGUAGAGAUCUGGAGGAAUACCGAUGGCGAAGGCAGCCAUCUGGCCUAAUACUGACACUGAGGUGCGAAAGCAUGGGGAGCAAACAGGAUUAGAUACCCUAGUAGUCC
This 451-nucleotide ribosomal RNA is filed under the name uncultured bacterium. RNAcentral describes it as "bacterial SSU rRNA". It matches the Rfam family "Bacterial small subunit ribosomal RNA", at positions 354 to 796 of the family's 1533-position model. The record is from RNAcentral.